CAUGCUCACUUAAUUUUAUUACAGAAAUGUACACAGUUUAGUCACAAUAAGUUCUAAUACAAGAAAAAAGUCACUCCCCUGGGCUGUCCCAAACCCGACUUUAUUUGUAAACCAGUUAUUAUGAAUGUAUUAAAAUUAAAUAAUUACUUCAUCAUCAUUAAUUUUAUACAGAACAAUAACUUAGGAACACUGUCUUAUAAGUCAAAUUACAUAAAUUCAAAUUUUUCAUAAAUAAUAUCAAUGCCGAAAUUUGUCCUCCGUAUUUUGUGUCUCGUCCCCUGGCUUUUUGUUUUUGUUUAAAAAUCAGUUUUGUUUUACUAUUUUGUGGAAGUUGUGGCCUUUAGUGCAUAGGAUGUAACGUGAAGCUAUCAACAAGAGGCGCAUAAGCCGACUGCGAAGUCAUUUUAACCGCCAUUUCAAUCACGCCGCUUCGCUGGGUGUAGAAGUGUUGAGUGAAUGCAGUCUUUCCUCUGAAAAAAUGGCAUCUAGAAAGCUAAAGCGCUUGAGAAAACCUGCCCGAAUAUGAAAACUUUCACCGUAGAUAUACCGUAGACAUACUAUCGGAAAAAGCAGCAACAUUAGGUUCUACUGAAGGUAUAAAGACUUUUUUAGGCACAGUAAAGGUUCACCAUGUUACCGGUUGCGUAUUUUUACCUAAUUGG
Ostrinia furnacalis (Asian corn borer) is the source of this 662-nucleotide long non-coding RNA. RefSeq lists it as uncharacterized. The record is from RefSeq and is a predicted model, not a curated record. The transcript has 2 exons. NCBI's taxonomy places the organism in Eukaryota, Metazoa, Arthropoda, Insecta, Lepidoptera, Crambidae.